GUCGAGAAUUUUUCUCAAUGGGCGCAAGCCUGAAGGAGCGACGCCGCGUGGGGGAUGAAGAGCUUCGGUUCGUAAACCCCUGUCAUUUGCGAACAAACCCUCCGGCCUAAUACGUCGGAGGCUGAUUGUAGCGGAAGAGGAAGGGACGGCUAACUCUGUGCCAGCAGCCGCGGUAAUACAGAGGUCCCAAGCGUUGUUCGGAUUCACUGGGCGUAAAGGGUGCGUAGGUGGCGGAGUAAGUCUGAUGUGAAAGCUCUGAGCUCAACUCAGAAAUUGCAUUGGAAACUGCUUCGCUUGAGGAUCGGAGGGGAGACUGGAAUUCUCGGUGUAGCAGUGAAAUGCGUAGAUAUCGAGAGGAACACCAGUGGCGAAGGCGAGUCUCUGGACGAUUCCUGACGCUGAGGCACGAAAGCUAGGGGAGCAAACAGGAUUAGAAACCCCAGUAGUCC
RNAcentral lists this ribosomal RNA (449 nucleotides) under uncultured bacterium. RNAcentral describes it as "bacterial SSU rRNA". It matches the Rfam family "Bacterial small subunit ribosomal RNA", at positions 354 to 796 of the family's 1533-position model. The record is from RNAcentral.